AAUACCGCAUAACGUCGCAAGACCAAAGAGGGGGACCUUCGGGCCUCUUGCCAUCGGAUGUGCCCAGAUGGGAUUAGCUAGUAGGUGGGGUAACGGCUCACCUAGGCGACGAUCCCUAGCUGGUCUGAGAGGAUGACCAGCCACACUGGAACUGAGACACGGUCCAGACUCCUACGGGAGGCAGCAGUGGGGAAUAUUGCACAAUGGGCGCAAGCCUGAUGCAGCCAUGCCGCGUGUAUGAAGAAGGCCUUCGGGUUGUAAAGUACUUUCAGCGGGGAGGAAGGGAGUAAAGUUAAUACCUUUGCUCAUUGACGUUACCCGCAGAAGAAGCACCGGCUAACUCCGUGCCAGCAGCCGCGGUAA
Molecule: ribosomal RNA, 363 nt
Filed under: uncultured bacterium
Lineage: Bacteria
Description: bacterial SSU rRNA
Rfam family: Bacterial small subunit ribosomal RNA
Source: RNAcentral